AAAUUGAAGAGUUUGAUCAUGGCUCAGAUUGAACGCUGGCGGCAGGCCUAACACAUGCAAGUCGAACGGUAGCACAGAGAGCUUGCUCUCGGGUGACGAGUGGCGGACGGGUGAGUAAUGUCUGGGAAACUGCCUGAUGGAGGGGGAUAACUACUGGAAACGGUGGCUAAUACCGCAUAACGUCGCAAGACC
This 192-nucleotide ribosomal RNA is filed under the name Salmonella enterica subsp. enterica serovar Infantis. RNAcentral describes it as "partial 16S ribosomal RNA". It matches the Rfam family "Bacterial small subunit ribosomal RNA", at positions 1 to 188 of the family's 1533-position model. Lineage: Bacteria; Pseudomonadati; Pseudomonadota; Gammaproteobacteria; Enterobacterales; Enterobacteriaceae. The record is from RNAcentral. RNAcentral also lists the same sequence under 6 other names.